Non-coding RNA from Lactuca sativa (garden lettuce), 10557 nucleotides. The record is from RefSeq and is a predicted model, not a curated record. NCBI's taxonomy places the organism in Eukaryota, Viridiplantae, Streptophyta, Magnoliopsida, Asterales, Asteraceae.
UUAAAACUGGGGAUUCACACGUGUUCUAUUUGUACUUCACCGCCACCAGUGUAAUCCAAUCGGAUUAGGAUCAGUGUCGUUACUUCCUUCUUCUUUUGCUGCUCAUUUCCAUUGAUGUCCAUGUCGAGGCUGUCAUGAUAUUGUUCUGCAUCUAACUUCUCCGAGCAUCGGGUUCCGGCGAAGGAUGAAAUACAACUCGUAACUUGGCGGGGCAGCACAAAUGGUGUUGCAGCCAUGGCGGUGUUUGAUCUCCUUUCUCCGGUUCCAAACUUCCGAUCCAUUUUCCUUAAAACGCUUCCAUUUUCAAUUGAUUUAGAUCGUUCUGGUAGCGUUGCCUCUGAUUUCUUCCGAUCAUCUCUGUACACAUUCUGAUUUCUUCCGAUCAUCUCUUCCGAUUUCUUCCGAUUCCAAUCCUAUAAACAUUUCAACUGAACUGCAAAAAAAAACAUCGCAGGUAUCUUCUCUUUCUUUUUCAUCUUCAACGCCAUUUGACCCUGUUUCUAUGCUGUAAAUUCCCAAGAUUCCUUGAUUAUUUUCUCUUCCACAGGAAAGGGGCAAAGAGGGUAUUUGGCUAAAGCUCAUUUAGAGAUUGAGGGCAUGGCCUUAUGGAAUGAGAUGUCUUCUCUUCUGGAACGUCGUCCCACUACCAACUUUAAUUCACGGAGGUAAGUAUCGUGGCUUUUCAAGUUUCAUAGAUAUGAUCCUAUAUGCUUGCUUUGGUAUCCAGUGGGUUGUGCCUUGUCAGUAUUAAUCUGUUAUGUUAUGAAAUCAAAUAAGGAGGCUCAAAAUAUCACCACCCCAAUACAACUACUAAUAAGGACAUCAGAGCUCAAGCCUGAAAUAAAAGUCCAACAAUUGAAAUUAUUCCAAAACAGCAAGAAACUUUCAACAGUAAAACAGAUUGGUGACUUUUCAUUUAUUUGGUACCUCCCAAGGAGCAGGAACGUUGAACUUAAGUGGCUGUAUGGUAUAUUACAGUUACAAGGGAUUUAGAUUUAUUCCAGUUUUUAAAUCUUAUAUAUUUUUGAUAGAAAUGCAUUGAUGUGGGAUAACAGGGUAUAUCAGAUAAAAGUUUGCAAAUGGUUGGAGACAAUUAUCAGCAUCUGCACUUGCUAGAUAUCACUAGCUUUAAAGAUGAAGCUUAUAAGAACCUGUCACUCUUCAGCAAUCUUAGAUUCUUAGAUCUCUGUGUUGUGUUGUUCAGAAUAUAUCUAAUGAAGGCCAUUUCUCUAAAGCCAAAUGCAACAAUAUUCGUAUCCUCAAUUUGACAUGUUAGAUAUACAGCUAAGCUAUAAGAUGGAACUGUGUUUGAGAAAAAGGGUUUUGAUGGAGACACUCCAUUAAACUUCAUUACAGAUGAAGGUUAGUUAGUUACAUGAAAAAAAAUUUGUUCGUUGAAAAGACAUAAAUACCGUCUACAUUGUAUAUAUGUGACAACCGUCAAUUUCCGGUCAAGUCAAAGUCAACUAAAGUCAACAAGUCAAACCGGUCAGCUCAAAUAACCCUUAUGUACUACGGUUUAUGUUAGGUAAUUACUAUACAACUCGCUGUUCUAAUGAGAAAUCAUAAAUUGAAAAGUACGUACAUCUAGAUUUCCUUAACCUAAAACUGUGGUAAGUAACAAACCAAACCGAUAAAACAAUGUUGCAUACUCAUCGGGAGUGUGUAAGAUCCUUAAACAUGGUUUAACGGGGUUUACGUACCUUGCGUUGCGAAGCCGGACACUCACAAAUGUCACACACGAAACCUCUCUCAAUCGUUUUCACUCUAUCUCUCUUUAUCGAGAUUCUAUCCUAAAUCUCUCCAAGAAGGAGGAAUCUCUCCCAAAUCUCUCUCCAUAUGAGAAAUCUCUCCAAGUAUGUGAAAUCUCGCCUAAAUCUCUCCACGUAUGUCAAAUCUCUCCCAAAUCUCUUUCUAUAUGAGAAAUCUCUCCAAGUAUGAGAAAUCUCUCCCACAUCUCUCCACGUAUGUGAAAUCUCCCAAAUAUCUCUUAAAAGUUCCUUAAACUUUUUGUAGUCUUUUGGGCCAUCCCGACCCUUAACCAGGUCGAAAACCGCUUAAAACGGGGCAAAAACGGAUAAAAAGGACUUAAGGACCCGAAACCCCUCUUAAGGAGCCGAACCCUCUUAAGGACCCGAAACCCCUCUUAGGAACCGAACUUGUCAGAAGCGAACUUGUCAGAAGCAAACUACACCCCUCGGACCGAAGGCUCGCAUAGACCAAACCCGAAGGUCCCUUCGGACCAAACCUCCCUUCGGACCGAGCCUUCCAUUCACUUUCGCUCCAUUUCGCUUUCGGCCCAGCAGCAGAAGGGACCGAACCUCGGCCCAAUACCGAGAGGUCUCGCAGGGAAGCCCAUUUCUUCCCGGUUUUCGAUUCCAACUUCGUUUUGGCUUCGUUUUUCAUCGUUUUAACGUGGGAUUUUCACCAAAAACUUUAUUUUGUCAAUUAAAGCCCCAUAAUUCAUUAAUUCCCACGUUUUUGGUGCAAAUCUUAUCCAAGAAAUGAGUGGGUGAAGUACAAAGGUUGAGUGUUGACUUUGCUUUACCUUAUGACACAAGCAACCACCCCCACACCCACUCUAUGACCAGCCACAUCUCCCCACCUUACCUAGGUCACUUUAAUGUCUUUUCCACUCAUUUACCAGCCCCCCCCCCCCCCCCCCCCCCCCCCCCCCCCCCCACACACACACACACGUCCUUAGGGAUGGAACAUCCAUCCUCUCUCCUCACUUCUCUCAUUUGCUCUCAUUUCACCAAAGGUCCAACUCCACUUUUCUCUCAAACUUUCUCUCUCAAAUUCGAGAUUCCAAGGCUGAUCAUCAAGUGUUCUCCCACUCUUGGUAAGUAUAAUUCAUCCUCCUUGUGAUUAAUACACUUCAUUCUACUCCAAUCAUCGAUUUCUUACACAAACUCCAUCACUUUGAUGUUAGAUUCUCAAAAAUCUUCAAGACAUCUUCAAGUGUUCUUAAGUUGAACACUUCCUUUCUCCAACAUUCAUCUACUGGAAUCACAUAAGUGAGUUUAUACUCCUAUAUUUUCAUGUUUUCUUAAGUUUUAAGGGGGGGGGGGGGGGGGGGGGGGGGGAAUACAAGUUAAAACACCAAGAACACAACUAAACUUAUUUAACAGCCUUCAUCAGAAAAAUUCAACUCCAUUCACGGACUGUUUUGGGCAAUUUAAACAAUUUAGUUUUCAAAACUGUUUUAGGUGCAAGUAGUUCCAGUUCUUAGCUUUAAAAUGACUACUUGCACAUCUCCAUACGAUUUUUCUACAAUUUAUGGUGAUUUUUACAAAACUGCCUAUCGUUUCAAGAGCAAAUCCGGACCAGUCUAUGAUUAUGAACAUUUUAACACAAGUUAAAGGCUUCCAAAAAUCAUGAUAAAAAUUAUGAACAAACUAGACACAUUUUAGGAACUCCCAGAAUUUAUGGAUUCACUUUUCGAUUUCGUAUGAUUUUUCUAAAACAGUGCAGAAAGGUUAAAAACUAGUUAACAGCUUAUAACUUUUAUAACAUUUUGUAUUAUGUUGAACAAAGUGUAUAACAAUAAGUUCUAAAUAUUGAAUGUGUUUUCCUCGUUAGUUUAUCAUCAUAACUGAAAUUUAGCCAUUCAUGAUAAGAUUCUUCAUUCAUUUAGAACACAUAUAUUAAGCUAUAAUAAGCAUAGUUUAUGGAUUCGUAGCACUAAUGUGUUUUCAUAAAAGAGUUCUUAUACAUUACAAACGUUUUGGAUAAACUAUAAUAGGUAUAGUUUAUGUAUCAUUUACUUUUCAAACUUAUUUAUCAAAGAUUUUCAGUUUAGUUCACGUAAAUCUGUUAAUGAAUAAAUUUGUGAGUCAUUCGCUUCGGGUUACUUCCAAAGUAACAAAGUCAAAAAAUCCUGUAAAUUGUAACUAGAGUCUCUUGUAGAGAGAACGUGAUAGUUGUGUAUAGAUCUAUAUUGGGUUUGACAAACCCACACCUGAGCUGCUUGCAACAGCUAGACCGACAGGUCUGUGGUGACAAGUGUCAUUUAACGGCGACGUCUGAAGAACGUCGUAUUACGAGGCCGUCUAUGUCAAGUAUGGUUAUGAUAGCUCACAUGUGGUAUUAACAAAUCAUAAGAUUUACAGGUUCUAACUUUAAAUUAGCGAGUUAUGUCAAUUUAACUCACAUAAAUUACCUUAAGUAUGGAAAAAUACUUGUACGCCUUCAUAUCAAAAAGGGUUUUAUGUCGAUUUAAAAUCACUUUUUACACCAAUAAUUACAUAUUUUAUUGUAUACUUUCGGUCUUGGUAUUUAAGACUACACAUCAUUCAUUACGGGAUUCUUCUCAAACUAAAAAGGGUUUUACGCCAAUUUAAAACCAGUUUUAUAUCUUUAAGUAUUACAAAUACUUGUUCAUUCCCGGUCCUGGUAUUUAGGACCACAUAACUUUUAUAAGGAAAAUAUUGGAUUUUUCUUGGUAACAUACAACUCAUUACAAAGAUCGAUUUUCAAACUCUUACUAUCAAAAGCUUAUGAACUCACCAACCUAUGUGUUGACACUUUUUCAAAACUACUUGUAUUCUUAGGAAUUCAGUGAAACAGAAAAUCAACAGCGUUUUGAGGAUGGGACGAUAAAUCGUCAAACAGUUCAUUUUGUUAUCAUAAUAUAAUUGAUUUGAAUCAUGUAAACAUAUACUUUGGUGUAACUUUUUCAAUUAUAUUUAUGAUGGUUGUAUUUACUUUGAGCACUAUUAUACUCGUUGUUGUGAUACUAUACAUGAAGUCCUCCACCCCCGGAUGUUUCCGCCAUCCUUGGUUUGGGGGUGUGACAGAUUGGUAUCAGAACAUUGUUUAUAGUGAACUAAGUAUAUCGAACCAUAUAAGAUAUACAAACUAUAAAUGCAUUGGGACUAAGGUCUCUGAUUUAAAGUUUUCAAAACAACUAUACUUUUAGAAAUAAAUAGUUUCUUGUUAAAAGUAUACAUGCAUGCAUACAUACUAAGGUCAGCAGCAUUCUAGAACAAAACAAAAGUAAUGAUUGUUGAAUAUCACAGGCAAGCUCAGGGAUGUAUGGUCAGUCUUGGGAGUGGCAUAGCCUGAUCAACUAUGUUGGUCCGAGGAGUGAUUAGCACAUGCCCAAGAAUAGUUGUGAUAUGGCGACAAGUCUAUAAACUUACCAACACUACCACAAUGAGAACAUUAGAACAGAACAUGAGUUUAAAAUACUAUAGGAGUAUUUUGUAAUAUCAUAACUUAUAUGAAAACUAACUAGAUCCUUAAUAAUAGGUCUAUAGUCACUAAAUGGAUACUCUAAGGUUAUAUAUAACUUAGAAAUCAUAGACUUAGAAUUUGUGGUCAUUGCCUUACUUCCUUUUCCUUGUUUGGAUGUGGACAUAGGGUAGGAUCACUUAUUCGAAGGUCUAUCAUAUCUUGUUAUAUGUAAUUAGUAUGCACUAUGUCAUUAUAGAAGUAACUAAUAAGGAUCACCCCUAUAAGUAAUUAAUUAUAGAGUUAGACGCCUAGUAAUUAUCUCUUCCACUCUUAUUCUCGCAUGUACAACAUAGCAAGAUCCUACUUACCGGGCGACCCCUACUUUCCCAAUCCGAACCCGAGAAACGGUGAAUGGUUAUGAGAAGAAUCAGAAACGGAACUGGAGGUAAUCAAUCCUCCAUGCAUAACAAGGGUUUCCGCGAACCGUUUCGACUACAUCGAACCUGUGCCCCGUUGGGCAACCGUGAUCGAGGGUUGAAUGUCGACAGCAAUGACAGCAACCACCAUGUGGAGACUGACGAGGGUGCUAUGACCUCAACCAUGGGGGACCGACUGACAGAGCCCUCCCAGCGAAGACCCGGCAGAUCGCGAACAUCGGGGAUUAAAACAGGAAGACGACAACCCGAGUUCGGAAAUUGCGCGCUACUACAGACCCUACUGUCUCACGUACCCGAGACUCGGAGAUAGACUACUAUUUCAGAGGCCAACAUUCUUUUUAGAACCUUAUCGCAGCUCGGGUAGAGGCAAGAGAGUAACAGGAUAGACACACGACAUCCUAAGAGAGGAGGAUUGCAGCCAAGCAUUGAUUGGCAGAACUACAAGGUGCAUCGACUUUGCCUCAGGCAUCGCAAGGGACGCAUCAUCGUGAGUAGAGUUCAUACCGCUCACAAGACCUCGUAAAAUAGGUUCAUGAGUAUGUGUUGGUGCUACUCUAUUCUAGGCGUAAGCACGACAUUGCGAUUUAAGCGGUCAUACUAAUCGAGAGAUCUAGUUGCCAUCAAAACUUUUCCUUGCAUGGAUGUGAGACAGACCUGCAUCGAGGUCAAAAAUGUUUGCUGAGACCACAAUUACUAGAAUCAUAUUAACAAGAUGGGCUUAGGACCUAGCUUGGGUCAAAUUACAAGGUUUCACUUGGAUACAGAACUACUAAAACACAUGAGUUUAUCAUAUAAAGACUCUCGUUAUGAACUGUUUACAGAACACCCUUAACAACUGAAUUACGUUACAAAUUGAUAUAAGAUAAACUUAGUUAGAAAGCUUGCGAUGUAUAGUCAUCCUAAAAACUCAUUUCCGUCUCACCUUUAAACACCUUGGUUGAGAGGUGCCUUCUUCGUAGACCUAUAGGGUGCGAUCAUACCAACGCUAAUGCACCGGAUCCCAUCAAAACUCCUCAGCUAAGUGUGUUUGAACAAACAUGAUCUUAAGAUGAGUAAAUCUUAAAACGCCCGUAUGAAACCUACUUCUACCCACUACCAUAACUCUGUCUCAGGAACGUUAGCAGAAACACCGAGAAUAGUUCAGUAAAGUGAGAAAUUUAUAUAUGUGUAUAUAAAUGGUAAGGAUAUAACUAGAGAUAAUCGUCCCUACUCACGACAUCUUUUCUCCUCAUGCAACAUGAUUAUGUCUUCACAAGACGGUAACCAGCCAACUAGCAAAGCGCCAACCCUGCAGAUAGACUCUGCUACUUUUCAAGCUGCAGUCACGGUAGCCAUGACAGCCGUCAUGGCGCAACUCAAUGCUAACAACGCCAGUAGAGAUGGGAGCGGUACCGACAAUACAGAUUGUUGUAUCAAUCAGGAACACCGGCAGGUAUCUGCCAACGAAGGCGCCUCAGGCCACAAACCUACGAAUAAGAAGCGAAAGUUUUGGGACAAAAAGAAGUGUAACCUACCUCAAGAAUUCGCUGGAAGAAAGCAAUUCGUGGCUGCACUUGCCAUUACAACAACAGUUACGACACAUGCCUCGACACUAGUCACGGGGUCUGCCACCCAAACGCCGACCAGACCAUAUAAGGGAUCACUCCUAAAGUGUAACCAAUGCGGCUUCCAUCACAAUGGGGUUGGCCUAGUGAUGCACUGUAAAAACUGCGACAAGAAUGGACAUACGGCCCGCUACUGCAGAAACCAAACCUAGCACCUCUCUUCAAUCACCGGCACCAAGGUAGGACCAGUAUGCUUCCUAUGCGGUGAAACGGGACACUUCAAGAGAGAAUGUCCAACCGAGAAGAAUGACGGGGGAGCAGGAGAAGUGUGAUGAACACACCAGCAGGAGCAACAAGGGGACCAUAUUAGGACUUUUGUAAUGUUUCCAACAACAAAAACGUUUAAGUACCAUAUGUUUGUAACGAAUUUGGUAUGCUUGCUAAAAUCACCGUCUUUCUAAAAGUAGUUAAAAUACUCUCUCGUUCAAAUCAAACCAAAGACACUCAUAUAUGACCUUAGGAUCAUCACCUGUAAGCUGUGAUGACUUUUUAUAUACAUCGGGGUUAAUUAUAAUCAAAAUACUAAAGACUUGAAACAAAUAAUUCUAACCUGACUCAUGUUCCAUGUCUAGUAGUGGGAAUUGAGUGGAGCCACCCACUCGACGAUUUCACAAAUAUCAAAUUACAGACGACGUACAUAUACCGCUCGAUCACAAAGUGACCUGUUGGGGAUCAUGAUAUCAAGUAUCAUUACUAGCUAUCGAAACACGCCCACUACCAGUGCUAGACACUGUGGUACGAAUCAUCUACAGUAAUAAUAACAUCGAACAAAACGGAACACACUGAAAAGAAACACAAGAUACUCUAUCACUCUAAUAAGCACUUCUUACGAAUACAACUUAACACAUGUUUUAUCUAAAAAGAUACUGAUGUCACCAUUCAAUUUCGAUUGGUAUAGUCCUCAUCUUCCCGGUUUAACGGCUACGAAAGGAUCCUUCACCUAACCCACUGAAUAUCGAAACCUUUGGGGGUGUGACAAUAUAAGGGUAACCUGGUCAUUUGGUAGGAAACGGGUCCAUGGGAGAUGGAUGUUCAUGAAAGAAUCGAAGCAGCUGGGAGGAAGAAAGAAGAAGGAAAUAUUCUUUGUAGGUGCUUUCAAUUCACCAAUCUGUUUUACUGUUGAAAGUUUCUUGCUGUUUUGGAAUAAUUUCAAUUGUUGGACUUUUAUUUUAGGCUUGAAUUCUGAUGUCCUUAUUAGUAGUUGUAUUGGGGUGCUGAUAUUUUGAGCCUCCUUAUUUGAUUUCAUAUUGCUGAAUUUCUGAUACUGAGGGAUGUGAACGUUGUACAGGCAAUCUUCUCUAUAAGAUACACUACAAAGAAAAGCAUCCGAACAUCAAAUUUGUGUCUAUUCCUAACGACCCCUUCAUGUUCAUUGGAGCUGCAAUCUUCUCCCCUUUCCCCAGGACUCAGCAUCAUUAGAUACACUUGGGAAGGCAAGAAAACCUGCGGAAUGAAUCAUUAAAUGUAUUUCACACAAUGCAGCAAAAAAUCACCCAUAUUCAAACCUUGUAGCUUAUUGUUUCAUAGUUGGCACCCUUGGAGAAGCAGGUGAUGUGAGAGAACUUUUUCAGUGAUCAGGGGCGGAUCUGUAAGUCGAUAAGGGUAUUUUCUACUUAUUUCAAAUAAAGUAGUAUGGAAAUUUGGAAUUUACACAAUAUUUGAGAGGUUUUUCUGUUGCACUUCCUGUUUACUUUGCAACACAAAUGGUUCAUUAUUUUAUAGCAUACAACAUAUUUGACAAUUAUACAUUUGUAAACGGGCGAAUGUACUAUACUUUCACAAAAAGACGACACAUUCCAACCCCCGAAACGCGGGGACACCUUUUUAGUUGUUAUUAUUAUUGUUAUUAUUUUAAUAUAAAAUAAAUUAUUAUUAAAUUAAAAGUAAAACAAUGGGGACAAUAUGAUCAUUUUUUGUCUUUAUUGGUAAAGGACAUUACAUGCAAACUUAAAAAAGAAUGAGGGAUGAAACAUGUAUGUUUCAAACAAGUGAGGAACGAUCUAAGUUAAUUUUUAAAAAUAAUGAUUAAACGUGCAUUUUGGCAUAUAUAUGAGGGACGUUUGGUGUAAUUUUUUUUAAACGAGAGAACUAUGCAACUUCUUAAAAUCUAUCUACAGUACACUUGUUUUAAAUAAUGGAAUUAUGCAACUUCUUAAAAUCUAGGGAUAACGAUUUAAAAGGAUAAUAUAUUUUUCGAUUUGUACACUAAAUGGUCACUGAGAUUUUUUUUUUCAUCCACAUUUACCUCUUCAACUUGUUAAACCGUACAUAUUCAGUCCUAAUGACCGACUACUCCAAGUUAACCGGUAAAAAUGACCGGCUAUUCUAGGUUAGUCCUUAAUACUUUUGUGCACAUUUAGUCCUUAAUAUUUUUUUUUGUUGCAAAAUAAGUCAUUUUUAUUUUUGUACUCAGUCAGUAUUUAUGAAUGAUUUAUUUAGGUUUUUCUCACGACAUCUUACGUGGGAAAAUCAUUAAUGAGAUGUUUGAGAUUUUUGAUGUUUAUGUCCAUCGCAAUCUCGACUACUUGGUUGCUUAUGUCAUGUGUUCUGAGCAUUAUAACUUCUUCAUAUGAUUUCGGAUUUUAACGAUCUUUAUAUCGAUCUGUUUAUAGUUUAGUCUAGUACAAUUUUCUUUUAGCUUGCUCUCGUUAAAAAAUUGUAGUAGAGUCAAAAAACAAACGCGUAGAUAUAAAGAUUGGUAAAAAUUUGGUUUUAAUUUGUUUAGACAAUUUGAGGGUCCCGAUGUUAUUGAUAGCCAUACUUGAUGCAGUUGUUGGAAACCAAUUUCAAGGAAGAACACAUAAACGUUGCAUUACCAAAGGAUGAUCAAAAUUUUGGUUUUUCUCUUUUACUUUCGGUAUCAAAAUUUAACAAAUUACAAAUGUGAGUUAUGGUUCUUUAUGUUAGAAUACAUUUAUGCCUCUUUAUUUUGGAAGAAAUUUUAAGGAUUACUUUAUUUACUUCUUUACUUAUUUACCUGUGAUUUUGUUGAAUACUAAUUUAGCAUGGAUUUUUUUUAACCUUUAUGAAAGUGAAAUUCCUUUAAAAUGGAGCUGGUAUUGUGCGGCCACUGGCUUACACUCCUGAUGACAGAACCUGUUUCGGUUAAUUUCAGUUGAAAUGAAGAGAAAAAUCACGACUUCAGUUUGGACAUUAAGAAAUUUUAUUUAUUAUGCUAUUGAAUCAAGGUGAGGAAUUUAGUAUCUUAAUUAUAUCUUUUAAGAGGAAACAUCUCAACAUGAAGUGAUUUGUUUGUUGAUUGUGUUAUGCACCCUAACAAUAGAGAGAAAUAUUAUAAGUUUGGGUUUAGGUUCAUGUAUAUAUUCAGUUUAUUAUUA